Quercus lobata is the source of this 519-nucleotide long non-coding RNA. RefSeq lists it as uncharacterized. Lineage: Eukaryota; Viridiplantae; Streptophyta; Magnoliopsida; Fagales; Fagaceae. The record is from RefSeq and is a predicted model, not a curated record. The transcript is spliced from 2 exons.
AUUAUGGGAAAACGUCUUUGCAUAUGGACUUUCUAUGUUUGGCCUAUUAUUAUUUCUUUAUUUCUUGGGAAACUUGCAGGUUUACAUGCAGCGUAGUGCUUCAAACAAUGUGAUUUCUGAAAAUGAUAAGAAACUGGAAUUUGAUGCUGCUGUUGAAAUAAUACUAAAAGAAUUGGGACAGUACAAGCAGCGUGUUGCUCAGAAUUUGGAAUUGACAGCGGAAUCACCCCAAACCGUACGAUGCUGUUGUUGAACCCAAGACACCUUCUAUUUUACAAAGACCGAUUGCUGAUGCUUUAAGAAAACUAGUUCUGAAUCCAUAAGGAGUACCUGACAUUGUUAUUGCAGAGCAAUGGUUUGUUUUGAUGUCUUUGCUGUUUUCAGAUUUGUUUUUCUAGUGAUGGAGUUGCUACUUGUUUGGAUUCUGAGUAAUGAUGGCAAAAUUAGGAAAAGGACAACGUGUGAAUUCUGUUUGAUGAACGGUAUUAAAUUCAAUAAGGAUUGUGUUUGUGUGUAGUU